Molecule: ribosomal RNA, 399 nt
Filed under: Triticum aestivum (bread wheat)
Lineage: Eukaryota; Viridiplantae; Streptophyta; Magnoliopsida; Poales; Poaceae
Description: partial small subunit ribosomal RNA
Source: RNAcentral
AUGGCCCUCGCUGACGCGGAGGAAGAAGUGUCACAGCAGAGCCACGGACGACAUCACGCCCAGAUACGCCUCACAAUAGUAGGCGAAGAUGGACAGGAGAAGGAUGGAGUUGGGAUGAAGAUGCAGCACCUACAGCUUGUAGUGGCCGAUGACCUCAUAGAAGAAGUCAGAAAGGGGGGAACCAACCCCGCGGCUAUGUUGCUCGUGAAGAAGGGGAAGAACGCGCUUCCCUCGUGCUCCGGCACGUCGGAGGCAACCCGGAGCUCCGUCUUCCCCCUCUCGUUGCUCUCCCCCGCCGCCAGCAAGCGCGUAGCAGCGAGGUUCUUCUCCGAGACAUUGGGCGCGUCAAGAGCGGGUUCGUACCAGGUCGACGACGAGGAGGGCUUGACCUUGCGCUGA